Molecule: non-coding RNA, 65 nt
Filed under: Salinibacterium rubrum
Lineage: Bacteria; Bacillati; Actinomycetota; Actinomycetes; Micrococcales; Microbacteriaceae
Source: RNAcentral
ACCUAGCCGCAACCGACGGCUCCCGACGACGGAUCAGUACCGGGUACGCGACAAGACUGGCCAAG